CUGGAGAUACUAUUAGACUUGAGACCGGGAGAGGUUAGAGGUACUCCCAGGGUAGAGGUGAAAUUCUGUAAUCCUGGGAGGACCGCCUGUUGCGAAGGCGUCUAACUGGAACGGUUCUGACGGUGAGGGACGAAAGUUAGGGGCGCGAACCGGAUUAGAUACCCGGGUAGUCCUAACUGUAAACGAUGCGGACUUGGUGUUGGGGUGGCUUUGAGCUGCUUCAGUGCCGAAGGGAAGCUGUUAAGUCCGCCGCCUGGGAAGUACGGUCGCAAGACUGAAACUUAAGGAAUUGGCGGGGGAGCACCACAACGCGUGGAGCCUGCCGGUUUAAUUGGAUUCAACGCCGGACAUCUCACCAGAGGCGACAGCUGUAUGAUAGCCAGGUUGAUGACUUUGCUUGACUAGCUGAGAAGAGGUGCAUGG
Molecule: ribosomal RNA, 423 nt
Filed under: uncultured archaeon
Lineage: Archaea
Description: bacterial SSU rRNA
Rfam family: Archaeal small subunit ribosomal RNA
Source: RNAcentral